This 496-nucleotide ribosomal RNA is filed under the name uncultured bacterium. RNAcentral's name for it is "bacterial SSU rRNA". It matches the Rfam family "Bacterial small subunit ribosomal RNA", at positions 903 to 1397 of the family's 1533-position model. The record is from RNAcentral.
AAAUGAAUUGACGGGGGCCCGCACAAGCGGUGGAGCAUGUGGUUUAAUUCGACGCAACGCGAAGAACCUUACCUGGGCUCGAACGGCUUUGGAAAGCUGGUAGAAAUACUGGCCCUCCAGCAAUGGAUCGAAGUCGAGGUGCUGCAUGGCUGUCGUCAGCUCGUGUCGUGAGAUGUUGGGUUAAGUCCCGCAACGAGCGCAACCCUUGUCCUGUGUUGCCAUCAUUCAGUUGGGCACUCUCAGGAGACCGCCAGCGAUAAGCUGGAGGAAGGUGGGGAUGACGUCAAGUCAUCAUGGCCUUUAUGUCCAGGGCUACACACGUGCUACAAUGACCGGUACAAAACGAAGCCAACCCGCGAGGGGGAGCAAAUCGUAAAAAACCGGCCUCAGUUCGGAUUGCAGGCUGCAACUCGCCUGCAUGAAGCUGGAAUCGCUAGUAAUGGCAGAUCAGCAUGCUGCCGUGAAUACGUUCCCGGGCCUUGUACACACCGCCCGU